This 1500-nucleotide ribosomal RNA is filed under the name metagenome. Its description in RNAcentral is "bacterial SSU rRNA". It matches the Rfam family "Bacterial small subunit ribosomal RNA". The record is from RNAcentral.
AGAGUUUGAUCCUGGCUCAGAUUGAACGCUGGCGGCAUGCCUAACACAUGCAAGUCGAACGGCAGCGCGGGGAGCCUGCUCCCUGGCGGCGAGUGGCGGACGGGUGAGUAAUGUGUAGGAAUCUGUCGAGAAGACUGGGAUAACCUGGGGAAACCCAAGCUAAUACCAGAUAAGCCCUACGGGGGAAAGCAUGGGACCUUUAUGGCCAUGCGCUUUUUGGUGAGCCUACAUUGGAUUAGCUAGUUGGUAGGGUAAAGGCUUACCAAGGCGACGAUCCAUAGCUGGUCUGAGAGGAUGAUCAGCCACACUGGGACUGAGACACGGCCCAGGCUCCUACGGGAGGCAGCAGUGGGGAAUAUUGGACAAUGGGCGAAAGCCUGAUCCAGCAAUGCCGCGUGUGUGAAGAAGGCCUGAGGGUUGUAAAGCACUUUCAGCGAGGAGGAAGGUUGUGUAGUUAAUAGCUGUGCAAUUUGACGUUACUCGCAGAAGAAGCACCGGCUAACUCUGUGCCAGCAGCCGCGGUAAUACAGAGGGUGCAAGCGUUAAUCGGAAUUACUGGGCGUAAAGGGUGCGUAGGUUGUAAUGUAAGUUAGGUGUGAAAUCCCCGGGCUCAACCUGGGAAUGUCGCUUAAAACUGCAUAACUAGAGUACUAGAGAGGAUAGUGGAAUUUCCGGUGUAGCGGUGAAAUGCGUAGAUAUCGGAAGGAACACCAGUGGCGAAGGCGACUGUCUGGCUAGAUACUGACAAUGAGGCACGAAAGCGUGGGUAGCGAACAGGAUUAGAUACCCUGGUAGUCCACGCCGUAAACGAUGAGAACUUGCUGUUGGACACAUAAAAGUGUUUAGUAGCGAAGCUAACGCGCUAAGUUCUCCGCCUGGGGAGUACGGCCGCAAGGCUAAAACUCAAAGGAAUUGACGGGGGCCCGCACAAGCGGUGGAGCAUGUGGUUUAAUUCGAUGCUACGCGAAGAACCUUACCUACUCUUGAAUCCAUGGAAUUUAUCAGAGAUGAUGAAGUGCCUUCGAAACCAUGAGACAGAUGCUGCAUGGCUGUCGUCAGCUCGUGUCGUGAGAUGUUGGGUUAAGUCCCGUAACGAGCGCAACCCUCAUUCUUAGUUGCCAGCACGUAAAGGUGGGGACUCUAGGAAAACUGCCGGUGAUAAACCGGAGGAAGGUGAGGACGACGUCAAGUCAUCAUGGCUCUUACGAGUAGGGCUACACACGUGCUACAAUGGCCAGUACAAAGGGUUGCGAAUCCGCGAGGUGGAGCAAAUCCCAUCAAAGCUGGUCUUAGUCCGGAUUGGAGUCUGCAACUCGACUCCAUGAAGUUGGAAUCGCUAGUAAUCGUGGAUCAGAAUGCCACGGUGAAUACGUUCACGGGCCUUGUACACACCGCCCGUCACACCAUGGGAGUGGGUUGCACCAGAAGUGGUUAGGCUAACCUUCGGGGGGCCGAUCACCACGGUGUGAUUCAUGACUGGGGUGAAGUCGUAACAAGGUA